AUGGGUCUAUUGUUUCCUGAUGUUUUUUUAUUCCUUUGUCCGUUUAGCUCAAUCCAACGGGAGUCCACAACCAACCCCCUCCCCAGGUCCUUCCACCCUCGGGUCUGGCUGGACACGCCCAUCUGCAGUACCUCCAGCUGGGGCAGAGCUACCCCGCUGCCAACGUCCAGCAUGCGGCUAACUUCUCGGCUCAGAAUUCGGCAUCGCCGGUUCCUCAACAAGUUGCCCAGAGUUACCCAGCAGCGCCUCAACAUCAGCAAUGUCAAUCAGCCCAGGGCUACUCUGAUCCGACUCAGCAACAAAACGCAGCGAUGUUCUCCAUGCAUGUUCAGCAGUCCCUGUCGGGCGCCGGAGAAUCGACUAGCACACCUCCACAGCCGCUAUCAAACGGUUACCCAGCUAGCUCUCUGGCUGCCCCUGCCCAGUGUCUCCCCAGCCUGUCACCAGGCAUCGCACCGCAGAGCUGCACCACACCGGCCCUUUACAACCAACAGCUCCCACUUCAACCACAGCAGCAGCAGCACUUGCAGCACAUACAGCAAGCCAGCGUCCAGCAAACGCAGCAGGGGCAUGUUCCAUCUCAAGGUCCACAUGGCCAACAAAGCAUGCAUGCCCUUCAACAACAACAACAGCAACAACAACAACAGCACAUCAGUAAUCAGCAGCCUAGCCUUCAGUCUCAACAGGCUUCAUUUCAACCGCAAGCUGCAGCAGCACUGCAUCCGCCGUCGGCUGUUCAGCACCAGAGCCUUCACCCCUCCCAACAGGUUCCAACCCCGGCCUCUCAGCUCUACUCCACGGCAACCUCCCCCAUGCCACAAGCCCCCGCGGGUUACCCAGCCGCAGGCAAGCCCGACUCCGGCCCUCAGACCCACUAUGCGCCGGCGUACUUCAUGGCACCGGGACAGACCUUCCUGCCUGGCCCUCAAAAGGCCACUGUUCAGCAAGGAACACCCCAGAACCUACCGGCCUCUGCCCAGCAUACCCAGGCGGCAGUCAGCCCACAACAGUUCGUCCCUUAUCUCAAAAUGGCUGCUUUCCUGA
This 1044-nucleotide long non-coding RNA is filed under the name Gadus morhua (Atlantic cod). Its description in RNAcentral is "lncRNA (ENSGMOG00000030801.1)". The record is from RNAcentral. Lineage: Eukaryota; Metazoa; Chordata; Actinopteri; Gadiformes; Gadidae.